Schistosoma rodhaini is the source of this 46-nucleotide non-coding RNA. The record is from Rfam. NCBI's taxonomy places the organism in Eukaryota, Metazoa, Platyhelminthes, Trematoda, Strigeidida, Schistosomatidae.
GCACUGCUGAGGAGUCCCAUAGUGGGACGAAACGGCCGUCCAGUGC